This 305-nucleotide unclassified non-coding RNA is filed under the name plant metagenome. Its description in RNAcentral is "partial contains 5.8S ribosomal RNA, internal transcribed spacer 2, and large subunit ribosomal RNA". The stretch from base 1 to 105 matches the Rfam family "5.8S ribosomal RNA", at positions 50 to 154 of the family's 154-position model. The record is from RNAcentral.
GAAAUGCGAUAAGUAGUGUGAAUUGCAGAAUUCAGUGAAUCAUCGAAUCUUUGAACGCACAUUGCGCCCUUUGGUAUUCCUUAGGGCAUGUCUGUUCGAGCGUCAUCUAAACCUUCAAGCCCUGCUUGGUGUUGGGUGCCUGUCCCGCCUCCGCGCGCGGACUCACCUCAAAUCCAUUGGCGGCCCCCGCGUCGGCCACGAGCGCAGCAGAAACGCGAACUCGUGAGCCCGUCCGGGCGGCUCCCAGAAGCUACACCCACCCAGUUUGACCUCGGAUCAGGUAGGGAUACCCGCUGAACUUAAGC